The sequence is a ribosomal RNA, 1425 nucleotides long. It matches the Rfam family "Eukaryotic small subunit ribosomal RNA", at positions 39 to 1675 of the family's 1831-position model.
AAAGAUUAAGCCAUGCAUGUCUAAAGUUCACGCCUUUACACGGCGAAACCGCGAAUGGCUNAUUANAUCAGCUAUUGUUUCUUAGAUCUUACCCAUGAUACAUGGAUAACUACAGUAAUUCUGGAGCUAAUACAUGCCAAUUAUGCCUUGGCUUUAUUGCUGAGGNNGGUUUAUUAGAUCAAAACCAAUCGGCUUUCGGGCUNUGGUUUUGAUKACUCUGGAUAACCAACCUAAUCGCAUGACCUUGCGUCGGCGAUGUAUCUUCCAAGUAUCUGACCUAUCAUCUGUCGAUGGUGAGUUAAACGCUCACCAUGGAGAUAACGGGUAACGGGGAAUCAGUGUUCGAUUCCGGAGAGGGAGCCUUAGAAACGGCUACCACAUCUAAGGAWGGCAGCAGGCGCGCAAAUUACCCACUCUCNGCGAGAGGAGGUAGUGACGAAAAAUAACGAUGCAAGACUCAUUAUGAGGCCUUGCAAUUGGAAUGAGUACAAUUUAAAUCCUUUAACGAGGAUNAAUUGGCGGGCAAGUUUGUUGCAUUGAAAAAGCUCGUAGUUNGAUCUAGGUGGGAGUCGUCGGUUUCAGCUUCGGCUVUUACUGUACGUGCUACUACCUUACACAGUCAUUAGACACUCUAUGGUGCUCUUUAUUGAGUGCUAUAGAGUGCAUGGCACGUUUACUUUGAAAAAAUUAAAGUGCUCAAAGCAGGCCUUAGUCUUGUAUACUCUUGCAUGGAAUAAUGGAAUAGGACUUCGGUUCUAUUUUGUUGGUUUUCGGACCCGGAGUAAUGAUUAAAAGAGUCUGACGGGGGCAUACGUAUUGUGGCGAUAGAGGUGAAAUUCUUGGACCGCCGCAAGACGACCUACUGCGAAAGCAUUUGCCAAGAAUGUCUUCAUUAAUCAAGAACGAAAGUCAGAGGUUCGAAGACGAUCAGAUACCGUCCUAGUUCUGACCAUAAACGUUGCCGACCCACAAUCAAGGGWGNNUGUUUUACUGACCCUCUUGGCUGUCCCUGGGAAACCUACAGAUUAAAAGCUCUUUCUUGAUUCCGUGGGUGNNNGUGCAUGGCCGUUCUUAGUUGGUGGAGUGAUUUGUCUGGUUAAUUCCGAUAACGAACGAGACUCUAACCUGCUAAAUAGNACGUCAGUAUUGACACUCUUCGGAGUNNNCANUGGCGSUGGCUUCUUAGAGGGAUACGCAGUAUUUAAACUACAAGAAAUAGAGCAAUAACAUGUCUGUGAUGCCCUUAGAUGUCNGGGGCCGCACGCGCGCUACAAUGACAGCUUCAGAGAGUUUUAAAACCUGGUCCAAAAGGAUUGGGAAAUCUUUGAAUGGCUGUCUCCUCAGGGAUUGGGGUUUGUAACUAUCCCCCAUGAACGAKKNAUUCCCAGUAGGCGCAAGUCAUCACUUGCGNNGAUUACGUCCCUG